Molecule: ribosomal RNA, 359 nt
Filed under: Gilliamella apicola
Lineage: Bacteria; Pseudomonadati; Pseudomonadota; Gammaproteobacteria; Orbales; Orbaceae
Description: bacterial SSU rRNA
Rfam family: Bacterial small subunit ribosomal RNA
Source: RNAcentral
UAAAGUACUUUCGGUGAUGAGGAAGGUGACGUAUCUAAUAGGUGCGUUAAUCGACGUUAAUUACAGAAAGAAGCACCGGCUAACUCCGUGCCAGCAGCCGCGGUAAUACGGAGGGUGCGAGCGUUAAUCGGAAUCGACUGGGCGUAAAGGGCAUGUAGGCGGAUAAUUAAGUUAGGUGUGAAAGCCCUGGGCUCAACCUAGGAAUUUGCACUUAAAACUGGUUAACUAGAGUAUUGUAGAGGAAGGUAGAAUUCCACGUGUAGCGGUGAAAUGCGUAGAGAUGUGGAGGAAUACCGGUGGCGAAGGCGGCCUUCUGGACAGAUACUGACGCUGAGAUGCGAAAGCGUGGGGAGCAAACA